This is a non-coding RNA of Pelobates cultripes (western spadefoot toad), 304 nucleotides long. Lineage: Eukaryota; Metazoa; Chordata; Amphibia; Anura; Pelobatidae. The record is from the annotation of a GenBank genome assembly.
CUCCCAUUCGGUGCAUUGCUUGUUCUACGAACAGUGUGGUGAUUCACUGUUCGUGGAUAACCAAGCUGAAUACUAGCGAUAUUCGUGUGCUGUAACACACGAAUGCUUCAUACAUUGAUCUUUUAUUCGGGGAAACAAACAAUACGGGCAAUAGCAUAAAAUAUACAGUUACACUCAGUAAGUGGCUAGAUUUGCCACACGGUCGUUAGAUCAAAUUGAAUGCAGACAUCGUUGUCCUGUACGGGUAUGAGCCUGUGUGAUGAACAAAUGGACAGCACUGUAGUGAGUUGAGUGUAUGAGAGAG